GGACGAACGCUGGCGGCGUGCUUAACACAUGCAAGUCGAGCGGUAAGGCCCUUUCGGGGGUACACGAGCGGCGAACGGGUGAGUAACACGUGGGUGACCUGCCCUCAGCUCUGGGAUAAGCCUGGGAAACCGGGUCUAAUACCGGAUAUGACUCCAUGACGCAUGUUGUGGGGUGGAAAGCCUUGUGCGGCUGAGGAUGGGCCCGCGGCCUAUCAGCUUGUUGGUGGGGUGAUGGCCUACCAAGGCGACGACGGGUAGCCGGCCUGAGAGGGCGACCGGCCACACUGGGACUGAGACACGGCCCAGACUCCUACGGGAGGCAGCAGUGGGGAAUCUUGCGCAAUGGGCGAAAGCCUGACGCAGCGACGCCGCGUGAGGGAUGACGGCC
RNAcentral lists this ribosomal RNA (388 nucleotides) under uncultured bacterium. Its description in RNAcentral is "bacterial SSU rRNA". It matches the Rfam family "Bacterial small subunit ribosomal RNA", at positions 27 to 416 of the family's 1533-position model. The record is from RNAcentral.